Mesocricetus auratus (golden hamster) is the source of this 553-nucleotide RNA transcript. It is a transcript of the gene named SNRPN upstream open reading frame, with no coding region annotated. The record is from RefSeq and is a predicted model, not a curated record. NCBI's taxonomy places the organism in Eukaryota, Metazoa, Chordata, Mammalia, Rodentia, Cricetidae. The transcript is spliced from 5 exons.
AUCAAAUCAGUGCAGCAGCAGGAGCAGAGGGAGUCAAGAUGCCUGUCACAUCCACCUGAGGAAUGGUCAGCAAGACAAUGCAGCAACCCAGGGAUCGCUUACACCUGAGAAGAACUACCGAACAGCACGUGCCAGAGGUGGAAGUCCAGGUUAAACGCCGAAGGACUGCCUCGCUGAGCAACCAAGAGUGCCACCUGUACCAGCGACGUUCUCAGCAGCAGCAGCAGCAAGUUCCUGUGGUGGAUUUCCAGGCAGAACUGAGACAGGCAUUUUUAGCUGAGACACCAAGAGGUGGUUAAAGCCGUGUUGAAACAUCAAGGAGGUGGAAAUCAAGGAAAACAGCCUUCCCCCAAGUAUUAAGGACCUUGAAAUUUCACUGUCAAGUGGCCCUUGUGGAACAACAAUCAUGACUGUGGGUAAGAGUAGCAAGAUGCUGCAGCACAUUGACUACAGAAUGAGAUGUAUCCUGCAAGACGGAAGAAUCUUCAUUGGCACUUUCAAGGCUUUUGACAAGCAUAUGAAUUUGAUCCUCUGUGACUGUGAUGAGUUCAGG